AUGCACGCUGGCGGCGUGCCUCAUCCCUGCCAGUCGCGCGAACAGACGAGGAGCUUGCUCCUCUGACGUUAGCGGCGGACGGGUGAGUAACACGUGGAUAACCUACCUAUAAGACUGGGAUAACUUCGGGAAACCGGAGCUAAUACCGGAUAAUAUAUUGAACCGCAUGGUUCAAUAGUGAAAGACGGUUUUGCUGUCACUUAUAGAUGGAUCCGCGCCGCAUUAGCUAGUUGGUAAGGUAACGGCUUACCAAGGCGACGAUGCGUAGCCGACCUGAGAGGGUGAUCGGCCACACUGGAACUGAGACACGGUCCAGACUCCUACGGGAGGCAGCAGUAGGGAAUCUUCCGCAAUGGGCGAAAGCCUGACGGAGCAACGCCGCGUGAGUGAUGAAGGUCUUCGGAUCGUAAAACUCUGUUAUUAGGGAAGAACAAAUGUGUAAGUAACUAUGCACGUCUUGACGGUACCUAAUCAGAAAGCCACGGCUAAUUACGUG
Molecule: ribosomal RNA, 496 nt
Filed under: uncultured bacterium
Lineage: Bacteria
Description: partial 16S ribosomal RNA
Rfam family: Bacterial small subunit ribosomal RNA
Source: RNAcentral